GCGGUAGCGCAGAGGAGCUUGCUCCUUGGGUGACGAGUGGCGGACGGGUGAGUAAUGUCUGGGAAACUGCCCGAUGGAGGGGGAUAACUACUGGAAACGGUAGCUAAUACCGCAUAACGUCGCAAGACCAAAGAGGGGGACCUUCGGGCCUCUUGCCAUCGGAUGUGCCCAGAUGGGAUUAGCUAGUAGGUGGGGUAACGGCUCACCUAGGCGACGAUCCCUAGCUGGUCUGAGAGGAUGACCAGCCACACUGGAACUGAGACACGGUCCAGACUCCUACGGGAGGCAGCAGUGGGGAAUAUUGCACAAUGGGCGCAAGCCUGAUGCAGCCAUGCCGCGUGUAUGAAGAAGGCCUUCGGGUUGUAAAGUACUUUCAGCGAGGAGGAAGGUGUUGUGGUUAAUAACCGCAGCAAUUGACGUUACUCGCAGAAGAAGCACCGGCUAACUCCGUGCCAGCAGCCGCGGUAAUACGGAGGGUGCAAGCGUUAAUCGGAAUUACUGGGCGUAAAGCGCACGCAGGCGGUCUGUCAAGUCGGAUGUGAAAUCCCCGGGCUCAACCUGGGAACUGCAUCCGAAACUGGCAGGCUAGAGUCUUGUAGAGGGGGGUAGAAUUCCAGGUGUAGCGGUGAAAUGCGUAGAGAUCUGGAGGAAUACCGGUGGCGAAGGCGGCCCCCUGGACAAAGACUGACGG
Molecule: ribosomal RNA, 691 nt
Filed under: Citrobacter freundii
Lineage: Bacteria; Pseudomonadati; Pseudomonadota; Gammaproteobacteria; Enterobacterales; Enterobacteriaceae
Description: bacterial SSU rRNA
Rfam family: Bacterial small subunit ribosomal RNA
Source: RNAcentral